This 348-nucleotide unclassified non-coding RNA is filed under the name soil metagenome. RNAcentral describes it as "partial contains 5.8S ribosomal RNA, internal transcribed spacer 2, and large subunit ribosomal RNA". The stretch from base 1 to 120 matches the Rfam family "5.8S ribosomal RNA", at positions 35 to 154 of the family's 154-position model. The record is from RNAcentral.
GAUGAAGAACGUAGCGAAAUGCGAUAACUAAUGUGAAUUGCAGAAUUCAGUGAAUCAUCGAGUCUUUGAACGCACAUUGCGCCCCCUGGUAUUCCGGGGGGCAUGCCUGUCCGAGCGUCAUUGCUGCCCUCAAGCCCGGCUUGUGUGUUGGGUCGCCGUCCCCCUCUCCGGGGGGACGGGCCCGAAAGGCAGCGGCGGCACCGCGUCCGAUCCUCGAGCGUAUGGGGCUUUGUCACAUGCUCUGUAGGAUUGGCCGGCGCCUGCCGACGUUUUCCAACCAUUCUUUCCAGGUUGACCUCGGAUCAGGUAGGGAUACCCGCUGAACUUAAGCAUAUCAAAAGCGGAGGA